Molecule: ribosomal RNA, 746 nt
Filed under: uncultured bacterium
Lineage: Bacteria
Description: bacterial SSU rRNA
Rfam family: Bacterial small subunit ribosomal RNA
Source: RNAcentral
ACGCUGGCGGCAGGCCUAACACAUGCAAGUCGAGCGGAUGAGAGGAGCUUGCUCCUUAUUUCAGCGGCGGACGGGUGAGUAAUGCCUAGGAAUCUGCCUGGUAGUGGGGGACAACGUUUCGAAAGGAACGCUAAUACCGCAUACGUCCUACGGGAGAAAGCAGGGGACCUUCGGGCCUUGCGCUAUCAGAUGAGCCUAGGUCGGAUUAGCUAGUUGGUGAGGUAAUGGCUCACCAAGGCGACGAUCCGUAACUGGUCUGAGAGGAUGAUCAGUCACACUGGAACUGAGACACGGUCCAGACUCCUACGGGAGGCAGCAGUGGGGAACAUUGGACAAUGGGCGAAAGCCUGAUCCAGCCAUGCCGCGUGUGUGAAGAAGGUCUUCGGAUUGUAAAGCACUUUAAGUUGGGAGGAAGGGCAGUAACCUAAUACUUUGCUGUUUUGACGUUACCGACCAGAAUAAGCACCGGCUAACUCUGUGCCAGCAGCCGCGGUAAUACAGAGGGUGCAAGCGUUAAUCGGAAUUACUGGGCGUAAAGCGCGCGUAGGUGGUUCGUUAAGUUGGAUGUGAAAUCCCCGGGCUCAACCUGGGAACUGCAUUCAAAACUGUCGAGCUAGAGUAUGGUAGAGGGUGGUGGAAUUUCCUGGGUAGCGGUGAAAUGCGUAGAUAUAGGAAGGAACACCAGUGGCGAAGGCGACCACCUGGACUGAUACUGACACUGAGGUGCGAAAGCGUGGGGAGCAAAC